RNAcentral lists this long non-coding RNA (2993 nucleotides) under Homo sapiens (human). RNAcentral's name for it is "HSALNT0230737". The record is from RNAcentral. Lineage: Eukaryota; Metazoa; Chordata; Mammalia; Primates; Hominidae.
AGUUAAAACUGUAUGCUGUAUUUAUGAGUUGUUUUCCCUUCUUUUGUGUCGUUAGAGUGGUAAAGUUGAAUGGGAGAAAUCCAGACCCAAUUAUCCAUGCCUCAGAAUCUAAGAGAUUUUUAGGAUGGCACAUCUUCAGUGUCAUCUCAUCUUCUACCGUGUUUAAGGAUGAUUCUGCAUUCAACAGCUGCUUUAGAGCUUGCUUAGUAAAACAGAAAAUCACACACAAAACAACGAGAAAAUCACCAGCAUUUAUUUACUCAACAAAUAUUUAUGAAGAGUCGACUAUAUACUAGGUCCUGUGCUAAAUAUCCUGGAUAUUGUUUAUAGGUCAGAAACUGUGGGGAAGAAUAAACAGAAUGAGGAACUUUUUUCUCCUUGAAAAUAAUUAUAUUUUAUAAAUAAUUGAGGCAGAGAGAACUCUAAUACUUUCUUUUUUGGAAGAGUCGUUCUCCAAGGAGACAUGCUUGGGCCAAUCAUUUAGCUGAAAUGAUCACUAAACAUACAUAUAUACCUUAAAAUUCAUGAGCAAGGACCAUAAUAAAGCGAGGUGUUGUAUAUGGUAUACAUUUCUGUUUUCCCACCAUAUACACAAUUUGGGUUAUUUUACUUGGUGCCAUGGGCUAGGAACUCUUAGGGCUGGGAAACAAUCUUGGUUUCCCAACAGUCUAUAUCAUAUAGGUGAAAACUGUAAAAUACAUCACAGUGCAGAUGAAAUCUAACACUACUAGCUCAUUUUGUGCUGCUGUGGAAGCAGUGAAUUAAAAUUAAGUCCUGUACUGGGGAUUGGGCCUUUUGUCAGGGCAACUGAGAUCAACUGUACAGAAAUUUUCAAAUUUCCCUUCUCAUCAGGCAAACGGAUGGACAAUGAAGCCGGUUCAGAGGCCCAGCCGAGACAAUGAUGCACAGGGAAACUCCCUCGAGCCCCAGCUGUCACCUAGUACUUCGAAGACACUGAGAGAAUGCAUGUUGCCUGGUGUGCAAGGAAAAUGGUGUGGAUUGUUCAUUCAUCAGCAGGAGAAUGUAACAUGCAUACAUUGGAUGCAACAGCAAAGGCAGAAGGCAUCUUUAAAAAUUCUGAAUUUGCCCUUUCACUAAAGACAGAUUUAUUUUUUUAAAAAAGUACCUCUGGAAUAACGUUAAAUUGUAAAAUGUGGCUCAACUUUUCAAAUACUUACCUAAUUAAUACACAUAGUUAGAUCAAGCCAAAGGGUAUAUUCUAAUAAUAUGACUCAAUAAAGCAACUUGAUAUGACUUCUUCUCUUCAAGUCCACACAAGUUUUAAGAAAUCCUACACCAACAGUUCUUCUCCCAUUUCUAAUUAUUUAACAUGUUAGGUCAGAAGCAAAUUGUUUUACCUUAAGAGUUUCAAGUGUACCAUCUUCUUUGGCAAGGACGCUGCCAGUGAUUCCUAAAAUGCUAACGACAUUCACUCUAACCCCGACAUUACUACUAUGAAUGCCUGCUUUGCAUAAUGUCAUCAGCUGAUCAGGAGUCAUGCACUGUUAAAAGAGAAGAGGACAGUAUUUAUAAUGUUAAACUCAAUUAAUUCUAUCAGCAUGUGAAAACCGGACUGACAGGAAUCUCCUCUAUAGGCUACAGGAUUUUAAGAGUGACAUAAACUCCUGGCAGGUAAGUUACUAUUAAUAUGUAUUCCAGUUCUCCCAGACAGAGCUGGUAAUUCUGAACUAAGGUGAACCCUGCUCAUGUCGGCACUGUUAUCUAAUAUCAAAGGGGCUCCAUUUAAUUUGAUGAAGACUUUCAUUCCAGAUGUACACACACUAAAGAGAGUCCAAUUCCUUUUUAAUAUUAAUGGUAAGAAAAAGGCUUUGAAAGUAUAAAUAGGAUUGUGUGGUUUUAAAAAAAUUGGCUGAGUCUAUACAAGGUAAGAACUUACUUUGAGAUAUCUGUAUUAUCAUAAUUAAAGACUGUAGAAACCAUUACAUUAUAUGGUGCUUCUACCAUGUAGUGGAUAAUUUUCAGUUUAAGGCUGGGCGCGGUGGCUCACGCCUGCAAUCUCAGCUACUCAGGAGGCUGAGGCACAAGAAACGCUUGAACCUGGGAGACAGAGGUUGCAGUGAGCUGAGAUUGUGCCACUGAACUCUAGCCUGGGCAACAGAGUGAGACUAUCUCCUAUAAGCAGCAGCACAGUGUAGUGAUGAAAGGCUUGGAAUCUGGAGCCAGACACAAAGGCUUGGAAUCUGGAGAUUGAACCCUGGGUUCAAAUCCUAGCUUCACUACUUAUCACUCGUGUGAGCCCCUACACUAGACUAAUGUAUUUUUAUUUUUUGUAGACAUGAAGUCUCACAAAGUUGCCCAGGCUGUUCUUGAACUCUUGGGCUCAAGCAAUCCUCCCGCCUCAGGCUCCCAAAGUGUUAGGAUUAUUAGUAUGAGCCACUGCACCUGGCCCUGAACAUGGGCUUUGAGUAAUUUUCCUUAACCAUCACACUGAUCCCAUAAGCUGCUGCUUACAUACCAGGGGAAAUCAAUAAAAAUACUUGAUAUUCCUAUAGGCCCUAGAGUAUAAGGUUUUCUGGUCCAUCCAACAGCCACAUGGCAGGCUAUGCAUCCCAUUACCAUUCCUACUUCUUAGAAACUGAGGGUCAAAUUAUGCUCUUCAAAAAAAUUCUUAGCUUUGGAAAGCUGAGGCAAGAGGAUCACUCGAGAGCAGGAGUUUAAGACCAGGCUGGGCAACAUAGCAAGACCUCAUCUCUAUUAAAAAACUAAAAAAUAAAAAUAAAGUAUAAAAAAAUUUUAAAAGCAUUAAGAAAAAAAUUAUAUAAAGAAGCAAAAAGAAAUAGUGUUAUUGGCAAUAACAAGAGCAUUGUUAUUUUGAUACUAUUAAGUACAUUCCGUAGGAUAAAGCAAAUAAUAGUUUUAAUGUCACUACAAUUUUAAUGUUACUACAGCAAACAAUUUUAAUAUCACUGUAUAGCAAAUAAUUUUAAUGUCUUUUAAUGUCACUACUACAAAGUACAUUCUGUAGGAGAAAG